Molecule: ribosomal RNA, 458 nt
Filed under: uncultured bacterium
Lineage: Bacteria
Description: partial 16S ribosomal RNA
Rfam family: Bacterial small subunit ribosomal RNA
Source: RNAcentral
GAUGAACGCUGGCGGUAUGCUUAACACAUGCAAGUCGAACGGACUCUUCGGAGUUAGUGGCGGACGGGUGAGUAACGCGUGAGAAUCAGGAUUUGGGUUCGGGACAACCACUGGAAACGGUGGCUAAUAAAGGAUGUGCCGAGAGGGAAAAGAGAAAUUGACUGAAGAUGAGCUCGCGUAUGAUUAGCUAGUUGGUGAGGUAAAGGCUCACCAAGGCAGCGAUCAGUAGCCGGCCUGAGAGGAUGACCAGCCACACUGGGACUGAGACACGGCCCAGACUCCUUCGGGAGGCCGCAGUAGGGACUCUUCCGCAAUGGACGACAGUCUGACGGAGCAACGCCGCGUGAGCGACGAAGGCCUUCGGGUCGUAAAGCUCUGUUGUUAGGGAAGAACAAGUAUCGUUCGAAUAGGGCGGUACCUUGACGGUACCUAACCAGAAAGCCACGGCUAACUACGUG